AUUGAACGCUGGCGGCAUGCUUUACACAUGCAAGUCGAGCGGCAGCGCGGGCUUCGGCCUGGCGGCGAGUGGCGAACGGGUGAGUAAUACAUCGGAACGUGCCCAGUAGUGGGGGAUAGCUCGGCGACAGCCGGAUUAAUACCGCAUACGACCUGAGGGUGAAAGCGGGGGAUCUUCGGACCUCGCGCUAUUGGAGCGGCCGAUGGCAGAUUAGCUAGUUGGUGGGGUAAAGGCCUACCAAGGCGACGAUCUGUAGCUGGUCUGAGAGGACGACCAGCCACACUGGGACUGAGACACGGCCCAGACUCCUACGGGAGGCAGCAGUGGGGAAUUUUGGACAAUGGGCGAAAGCCUGAUCCAGCAAUGCCGCGUGUGUGAUGAAGGCCUUCGGGUUGUAAAGCACUUUUGGCGGGAACGAAAAGGACUGUGCCAAUACCACGGUUCGAUGACGGUACCCGCAGAAUAAGCACCGGCUAACUACGUG
RNAcentral lists this ribosomal RNA (484 nucleotides) under uncultured bacterium. Its description in RNAcentral is "partial 16S ribosomal RNA". It matches the Rfam family "Bacterial small subunit ribosomal RNA", at positions 29 to 507 of the family's 1533-position model. The record is from RNAcentral.